Molecule: non-coding RNA, 82 nt
Organism: Angiostrongylus costaricensis
Lineage: Eukaryota; Metazoa; Nematoda; Chromadorea; Rhabditida; Metastrongylidae
Source: Rfam
GCAGCGAUGUCCGAGUUGUUAAGGAGAUUGACUUGAAAUCAAUUGGGGUCUGCCUGCGUAGGUUCGAUUCCUGCUCGCUGCG